RNAcentral lists this ribosomal RNA (2903 nucleotides) under Escherichia coli. Its description in RNAcentral is "23S ribosomal RNA". It matches the Rfam family "Bacterial large subunit ribosomal RNA". The record is from RNAcentral. Lineage: Bacteria; Pseudomonadati; Pseudomonadota; Gammaproteobacteria; Enterobacterales; Enterobacteriaceae.
GGUUAAGCGACUAAGCGUACACGGUGGAUGCCCUGGCAGUCAGAGGCGAUGAAGGACGUGCUAAUCUGCGAUAAGCGUCGGUAAGGUGAUAUGAACCGUUAUAACCGGCGAUUUCCGAAUGGGGAAACCCAGUGUGUUUCGACACACUAUCAUUAACUGAAUCCAUAGGUUAAUGAGGCGAACCGGGGGAACUGAAACAUCUAAGUACCCCGAGGAAAAGAAAUCAACCGAGAUUCCCCCAGUAGCGGCGAGCGAACGGGGAGCAGCCCAGAGCCUGAAUCAGUGUGUGUGUUAGUGGAAGCGUCUGGAAAGGCGCGCGAUACAGGGUGACAGCCCCGUACACAAAAAUGCACAUGCUGUGAGCUCGAUGAGUAGGGCGGGACACGUGGUAUCCUGUCUGAAUAUGGGGGGACCAUCCUCCAAGGCUAAAUACUCCUGACUGACCGAUAGUGAACCAGUACCGUGAGGGAAAGGCGAAAAGAACCCCGGCGAGGGGAGUGAAAAAGAACCUGAAACCGUGUACGUACAAGCAGUGGGAGCACGCUUAGGCGUGUGACUGCGUACCUUUUGUAUAAUGGGUCAGCGACUUAUAUUCUGUAGCAAGGUUAACCGAAUAGGGGAGCCGAAGGGAAACCGAGUCUUAACUGGGCGUUAAGUUGCAGGGUAUAGACCCGAAACCCGGUGAUCUAGCCAUGGGCAGGUUGAAGGUUGGGUAACACUAACUGGAGGACCGAACCGACUAAUGUUGAAAAAUUAGCGGAUGACUUGUGGCUGGGGGUGAAAGGCCAAUCAAACCGGGAGAUAGCUGGUUCUCCCCGAAAGCUAUUUAGGUAGCGCCUCGUGAAUUCAUCUCCGGGGGUAGAGCACUGUUUCGGCAAGGGGGUCAUCCCGACUUACCAACCCGAUGCAAACUGCGAAUACCGGAGAAUGUUAUCACGGGAGACACACGGCGGGUGCUAACGUCCGUCGUGAAGAGGGAAACAACCCAGACCGCCAGCUAAGGUCCCAAAGUCAUGGUUAAGUGGGAAACGAUGUGGGAAGGCCCAGACAGCCAGGAUGUUGGCUUAGAAGCAGCCAUCAUUUAAAGAAAGCGUAAUAGCUCACUGGUCGAGUCGGCCUGCGCGGAAGAUGUAACGGGGCUAAACCAUGCACCGAAGCUGCGGCAGCGACACUAUGUGUUGUUGGGUAGGGGAGCGUUCUGUAAGCCUGUGAAGGUGUACUGUGAGGUAUGCUGGAGGUAUCAGAAGUGCGAAUGCUGACAUAAGUAACGAUAAAGCGGGUGAAAAGCCCGCUCGCCGGAAGACCAAGGGUUCCUGUCCAACGUUAAUCGGGGCAGGGUGAGUCGACCCCUAAGGCGAGGCCGAAAGGCGUAGUCGAUGGGAAACAGGUUAAUAUUCCUGUACUUGGUGUUACUGCGAAGGGGGGACGGAGAAGGCUAUGUUGGCCGGGCGACGGUUGUCCCGGUUUAAGCGUGUAGGCUGGUUUUCCAGGCAAAUCCGGAAAAUCAAGGCUGAGGCGUGAUGACGAGGCACUACGGUGCUGAAGCAACAAAUGCCCUGCUUCCAGGAAAAGCCUCUAAGCAUCAGGUAACAUCAAAUCGUACCCCAAACCGACACAGGUGGUCAGGUAGAGAAUACCAAGGCGCUUGAGAGAACUCGGGUGAAGGAACUAGGCAAAAUGGUGCCGUAACUUCGGGAGAAGGCACGCUGAUAUGUAGGUGAAGUCCCUCGCGGAUGGAGCUGAAAUCAGUCGAAGAUACCAGCUGGCUGCAACUGUUUAUUAAAAACACAGCACUGUGCAAACACGAAAGUGGACGUAUACGGUGUGACGCCUGCCCGGUGCCGGAAGGUUAAUUGAUGGGGUCAGCGCAAGCGAAGCUCUUGAUCGAAGCCCCGGUAAACGGCGGCCGUAACUAUAACGGUCCUAAGGUAGCGAAAUUCCUUGUCGGGUAAGUUCCGACCUGCACGAAUGGCGUAAUGAUGGCCAGGCUGUCUCCACCCGAGACUCAGUGAAAUUGAACUCGCUGUGAAGAUGCAGUGUACCCGCGGCAAGACGGAAAGACCCCGUGAACCUUUACUAUAGCUUGACACUGAACAUUGAGCCUUGAUGUGUAGGAUAGGUGGGAGGCUUUGAAGUGUGGACGCCAGUCUGCAUGGAGCCGACCUUGAAAUACCACCCUUUAAUGUUUGAUGUUCUAACGUUGACCCGUAAUCCGGGUUGCGGACAGUGUCUGGUGGGUAGUUUGACUGGGGCGGUCUCCUCCUAAAGAGUAACGGAGGAGCACGAAGGUUGGCUAAUCCUGGUCGGACAUCAGGAGGUUAGUGCAAUGGCAUAAGCCAGCUUGACUGCGAGCGUGACGGCGCGAGCAGGUGCGAAAGCAGGUCAUAGUGAUCCGGUGGUUCUGAAUGGAAGGGCCAUCGCUCAACGGAUAAAAGGUACUCCGGGGAUAACAGGCUGAUACCGCCCAAGAGUUCAUAUCGACGGCGGUGUUUGGCACCUCGAUGUCGGCUCAUCACAUCCUGGGGCUGAAGUAGGUCCCAAGGGUAUGGCUGUUCGCCAUUUAAAGUGGUACGCGAGCUGGGUUUAGAACGUCGUGAGACAGUUCGGUCCCUAUCUGCCGUGGGCGCUGGAGAACUGAGGGGGGCUGCUCCUAGUACGAGAGGACCGGAGUGGACGCAUCACUGGUGUUCGGGUUGUCAUGCCAAUGGCACUGCCCGGUAGCUAAAUGCGGAAGAGAUAAGUGCUGAAAGCAUCUAAGCACGAAACUUGCCCCGAGAUGAGUUCUCCCUGACUCCUUGAGAGUCCUGAAGGAACGUUGAAGACGACGACGUUGAUAGGCCGGGUGUGUAAGCGCAGCGAUGCGUUGAGCUAACCGGUACUAAUGAACCGUGAGGCUUAACCUU